Molecule: transfer RNA, 69 nt
Filed under: Fulvivirga imtechensis
Lineage: Bacteria; Pseudomonadati; Bacteroidota; Cytophagia; Cytophagales; Fulvivirgaceae
Also listed under: 3 other names
Rfam family: tRNA
About the family: Transfer RNA (tRNA) molecules are approximately 80 nucleotides in length. Their secondary structure includes four short double-helical elements and three loops (D, anti-codon, and T loops).
Source: RNAcentral
GUGCUGUAGCUCAGUUGGUAGAGCAUCGGACUGAAAAUCCGUGAGUCGGUGGUUCGAGCCCACUCAGCA